Lepidothrix coronata (blue-crowned manakin) is the source of this 2184-nucleotide long non-coding RNA. RefSeq lists it as uncharacterized. The transcript has 4 exons. Lineage: Eukaryota; Metazoa; Chordata; Aves; Passeriformes; Pipridae. The record is from RefSeq and is a predicted model, not a curated record.
UUUUUGUUAAACUCUUUGGUUUUUAACCAGAUUUUCCUGCAAUUUACAGCAGUUAUGCAAUGACAGAUGACGCCAUAGGAAUCCAGGACUUGCUCCCUCUGUGAACCAAGGCCUUUGCCACACCAGGCUCCUCCAUACAUGCCUAAGUGCCUCUUCCAGCUGGGCACAACAGAUGGAACAGGUCCGGGUCCUGCUAGGGCUUUGCCCUGCCCGCAAUGUGGUCCUGUUGCAUUCAGCAGAACCAGCUCUGGGUCCUCUGGGCCUUUGCUAGGACAUGGGCAGCAAUGUCUCAUUUUCCCAUGGUGCCUGAGGUAAGUGUUCUGGAGGAGGGCCUCAGUAAAUGUAAUUUUAAGAUAUGGAGUUACUAUCUUAGUUUUUUUGCCCAAGAGCUGGAGCACAUGCCAAAACCCUAACAGAACUGUAAUAUAAUAAAAGAAGAGAGGUCAUAAAAAUUAUGUAAAUCAUUUCCCCGUUUUUAUCUUUCUGCGGGUGUGUGCCGGUAUAAAAUAUGGGGUCAGAAGGAGUGACUUCCUCCUGGGCUGCAGACACACGUCUGCAUAAUGGGUCCCUCACAUCUUCUUGUGCCCCAUUUUCGUCCCUGCGAAGCUGCCCCUUCCCAGCCGUGUAUGAAUGAACAGAAGUGCCUUUCAUCCCCCACUUGCCAGGCGCUUCAAAAGGAACUACGAAAAUAGCAGCAACAAAAAUCCAGCCGCCUGCCAAAAGGCCCGCACACAUCCCAUUCUCACAGGCAUGCGAAAGGUUGGAGAGCUCAGCAAAAUUUUUAUGUACGGGAGCAGGCCCAAGGAAAACUCACACGCCAUAACCAAUUGUGGACAGAGGAUCAUCUAUCAGCAGACAAAUGCAGGAACUCCAGAAUGUCUCUCCUCAAAUGAAAUAAUAUAUCUUUGAAAGCCAAUGCCCGUUUUAGGCCUGAGGCCCAUAUAUCAAGCCUGAGAGGCUUGUGGAUACGCUCCAGGGCCAUUAACCUUCCACCUGUUUCCCCUUGUCCUUCAGGAUGAGACCCUGCCCUUGAUUUUACUCCCUUCCCCUGUUCAUCUUCCGACAGAGUGUAAAUGUAAAGCAGAGGGCCUGUGAAAUAAUUCAAAGGCAAUGGACCAGGGACAUGGUUACAAAUCUCUGCCACUGGCACUGUGACUUAUGCAGGCAGUUUGUCACACAUGAGCCAGGUGACCUCUGUGACAUAACAGAGAAAAAUAUCGCCCGAGAUCAAAAGAUGAGAUUCAGAGCACUCUAACUAACUCUGGUGUACACAGCCACACUAUAAGGUGGCCAAGGGUUUCCUCUCCUCCGAAUGCUGCUCACUCCGCUCGCUGGCGGGCGGGACACAGUCCUGCUAAUUUCAGUAAUAUCUUUUUCUCUCAUCUCUUUGGAAAUCUUUCCUGCAACCUGAACAUCAAAAUUUGCCUCCUUCUGAAGCCUCUCUUUUUCAAAAAAGGAAAGCCUGCUAGAGAUAAAACAGUCAGCGGCUGCAUCUACAGACAAUUUUUGUUGGGAAAAGUGCCAUAUAGUAUCGACAGUGACAACAAAUUGUAUUGUCCGGUGAACAUCUGUUUCCGACUCCCACACUGAUACUGCAGGUUGUAUACUUCUGAUUUAGUCUUCACAGGCUGCCCGAUCACAGAGGAACUGGAAAUUACUGAGAAAGAGGGAGAAUGAGAAACUCCACUGAAACUCCUGUUAACACUAAUUAGAGUUGUCAGCAUGCAGCGGAAUCAAAGGCAAAACAUGUGGAGCUCCCAGUGAAGUCAAGAGGAGAAGGGUAUUACUUAAAGGAGAGGCAUGCAAAUUAAAAAUAAAUGCUGUUCAAUGUUACCAAAUGAGCUAGUCACAUAAACACUCGCUUUGAGGUCUAAACCUUCCUACUGGGAACGCUCUUUCCGAAAGUUCAUUCCUAGUCAGGAGACAACAUUGUCCUUGACCACACCUGCCAAACGAGAACCCAUCUUGUGAAUGACGGGUCCAAAGCAAUGUAAAGUAAUUGCCGUGUGUUUAUUUCUACUUAAAAUUGAUAUUACUGUUGUUGCUGUUGUUAAUAUUCUUGUUGUUUAUUUGCUGUGUUAUAAACAAGGACCACUGUUUUCAAAGUCUUGCAGCAGAAAGGCAGUGCUACUCCUUAGAGCAAUUUUGGAUUGCUCAAAGACUAGAAAGUCUGUGUAGAAUCUU